Molecule: ribosomal RNA, 450 nt
Filed under: uncultured bacterium
Lineage: Bacteria
Description: partial 16S ribosomal RNA
Rfam family: Bacterial small subunit ribosomal RNA
Source: RNAcentral
GUGGGGAAUCUUCCGCAAUGGACGAAAGUCUGACGGAGCGACGCCGCGUGAGUGAUGAAGGCCUUCGGGUCGUAAAGCUCUGUCAUCGGGGACGAAUGGUCGUUGGAGUGGAAAGCCAGCGAAAUGACGGUACCCGAGAAGGAAGCCACGGCUAACUACGUGCCAGCAGCCGCGGUAAUACGUAGGUGGCAAGCGUUGUCCGGAAUUAUUGGGCGUAAAGCGCGCGCAGGUGGGAUCUUAAGUCCAUUUUUAAAGUUCGGAGCUCAACUCCGUGAUGGGAUGGAAACUGGGAUUCUUGAGUACCGGAGAGGAAAGCGGAAUUCCCCGUGUAGCGGUGAAAUGCGUAGAUAUGGGGAGGAACACCAGUGGCGAAGGCGGCUUUCUGGACGGUGUCUGACACUGAGGCGCGAAAGCCAGGGGAGCGAACGGGAUUAGAAACCCCUGUAGUCC